UUUAAUGAGAGUUUGAUCCUGGCUCAGGACGAACGCUGGCGGCGUGCCUAAUACAUGCAAGUAGAACGCUGAGGUUUGGUGUUUACACUAGACUGAUGAGUUGCGAACGGGUGAGUAACGCGUAGGUAACCUGCCUCAUAGCGGGGGAUAACUAUUGGAAACGAUAGCUAAUACCGCAUAAGAGUAAUUAACACAUGUUAGUUAUUUAAAAGGAGCAAUUGCUUCACUGUGAGAUGGACCUGCGUUGUAUUAGCUAGUUGGUGAGGUAAAGGCUCACCAAGGCGACGAUACAUAGCCGACCUGAGAGGGUGAUCGGCCACACUGGGACUGAGACACGGCCCAGACUCCUACGGGAGGCAGCAGUAGGGAAUCUUCG
RNAcentral lists this ribosomal RNA (376 nucleotides) under Streptococcus agalactiae. RNAcentral's name for it is "bacterial SSU rRNA". It matches the Rfam family "Bacterial small subunit ribosomal RNA", at positions 1 to 367 of the family's 1533-position model. Lineage: Bacteria; Bacillati; Bacillota; Bacilli; Lactobacillales; Streptococcaceae. The record is from RNAcentral.